This 283-nucleotide small RNA is filed under the name Pongo abelii (Sumatran orangutan). Its description in RNAcentral is "retained intron". The record is from RNAcentral. Lineage: Eukaryota; Metazoa; Chordata; Mammalia; Primates; Hominidae.
AUAACCCUCUGUUGCAGAAUAGACUGAUGCUACAGAAGUCUCUCUAGAGUUUGGAAAUCUUUACCAAAAAGAAAAAUUCUGAUGUAUUCUCUUUCAGUUGAACGUCCUCAGAUGACUUUCGGCAGGCUCCAGAGAAUCUUGCCAAAGAUCAUGCCCAAGAAGUCAGCAGAGGAAGGAAAUGAUUCAAAGGGAGUGCCAGAAGCAUCUGGCCCACAGAACGAUGGGAAACAGCUGUACCCCCCAGGAAAUCCAAGUACCUCUGAGAAGAUUAACAAGACAUCUG